CUUCUAGAGGACCCCUAAUCUCUAAUGAACAUGAGAACACCUAACCCAGCCGUUUUUCAUCUUCAACACCAAAAAAACCCUAGGUCUAUCUUCUCCAACCUAAGACCCCAAUCUCCAUAGCUGCCGCCAGUCCACCUCCCCCCACCGGCUGCUCAUCGCUGCCAACCACCACCUUCGACCAAAAUCUAACAAAAUAGACUCAUCAAGCUCACGAUAAUAUGGCACAUCUAGUUGUUUUCUUGUUAACUCGUUCUGAAUUUCCUUCAUAGCAAAUUGCUCAGGCUUCAUCUCUUCUUCGGAUUUUUUUCUGAUUUGCUGGAUUAACAGAUCUAAAAUGCGCGACCCCAAACCAGCCCUCUUGCCCAUAAAACCAUACCAAUACAACCCAAAAUCAGUCCCAAAGAAACUCAAAAACCAGCUGGAGUUUAGUUUUUGUCAUUCUGGUUUAGUUCGAUACUUCUAGUAGGCUUCGAGGUUGUCAGUGGUCGUCAUUCAGGGGCUCCACUUCAGUUUUGUCUGGGUUCUUUUGUUCUGAGGGAGUUCGAGUUCAGUGGGGUCCUCCGUUGAGUGUCGUCGAUCGUGGAUCAAGUUUGUUGUUUGAGGAGGCUAUUUUAGUUAUAAUAGUGAAGACAACAUUCUGCUUGAGGAGUGGAUCUACUUACCAGAGCUUGAGCAUGACAGACACCUCAGGACCAUUUGGUCAGGACCGUUGCACCUAGGAGUUUCUUAAGGAGGUUUUUAUUUUUUUAUUUUUUGAGUCUGCUUUUUUGUUGUCUUGUACUUUAUAGUCAUGUUCAGUAGCACUGGCUCUUUUAGUUAGUGUUAGAGUUUGUUGUAGUAUAGUUGAAUUUUUCAAGUC
This is a long non-coding RNA of Nicotiana tabacum (common tobacco), 859 nucleotides long. RefSeq lists it as uncharacterized. The record is from RefSeq and is a predicted model, not a curated record. Lineage: Eukaryota; Viridiplantae; Streptophyta; Magnoliopsida; Solanales; Solanaceae.